RNAcentral lists this ribosomal RNA (504 nucleotides) under uncultured bacterium. Its description in RNAcentral is "bacterial SSU rRNA". It matches the Rfam family "Bacterial small subunit ribosomal RNA", at positions 9 to 507 of the family's 1533-position model. The record is from RNAcentral.
CGAGUUUGAUCAUGGCUCAGGAUGAACGCUAGCGGCAGGCUUAACACAUGCAAGUCGAGGGGCAGCGCGAUGUAGCAAUACAUUGGCGGCGACCGGCGCACGGGUGCGUAACACGUAUGGAACUUACCCUUUACUGGGAGAUAGCCCGGAGAAAUCCGGAUUAAUAUCCCAUAAUAAACGAAGUGGCAUCACUUUGUUUGAAAGCUCCGGCGGUAAAGGAUGGCCAUGCGCACGAUUAGCUAGUAGGUGAGGUAACGGCUCACCUAGGCUACGAUCGUUAGGGGGCCUGAGAGGGUUAUCCCCCCACACUGGUACUGAGACACGGACCAGACUCCUACGGGAGGCAGCAGUGAGGAAUAUUGCGCAAUGGAGGCAACUCUGACGCAGCCAUGCCGCGUGCAGGAAGAAGGCGCUACGCGUUGUAAACUGCUUUUAACCGGGAGAAACCCUCCGACGUGUCGGAGGUUGACGGUACCGGAGGAAUAAGCACCGGCUAACUUCGUG